UAUCAAUAAGCGGAGGAAAAGAAACCAACAGGGAUUGCCCCAGUAACGGCGAGUGAAGCGGCAACAGCUCAAAUUUGAAAUCUGGCGCAAGCCCGAGUUGUAAUUUGCAGAGGAUGCUUCAGGGCAGCGACCGGUCUAAGUUCCUUGGAACAGGACGUCGUAGAGGGUGAGAAUCCCGUAUGCGACCGGUUGGCACCCGUCACGUAGCUCCUUCGACGAGUCGAGUUGUUUGGGAAUGCAGCUCUAAAUGGGAGGUAAAUUUCUUCUAAAGCUAAAUACCGGCCAGAGACCGAUAGCGCACAAGUAGAGUGAUCGAAAGAUGAAAAGCACUUUGGAAAGAGAGUUAAAAAGCACGUGAAAUUGUUGAAAGGGAAGCGCAUGCAACCAGACUUGUCGGCGGUGUUCCGCCGGUCUUCUGACCGGUCCACUCGCCGCCGGCAGGCCAGCAUCAUCUGGGCGCGCCGGACAAAGGCGCGGGGAAUGUAGCUCCUCGGAGUGUUAUAGCCCCGCGCACAAUACGGCGCCGCUCGGGUGAGGUCCGCGCUUCGGCUAGGAUGCUGGCGUAAUGGUUGUCUGCGGCCCGUCUUGAAACACGGACCAAGGAGUCUAACAUCUAUGCGAGUGUUCGGGUGUCAAACCCCUACGCGGAAUGAAAGUGAACGGAGGUGGGAAGCGCAAGCUGCACCAUCGACCGAUCCUGAUGUCUUCGGAUGGAUUUGAGUAAGAGCAUAGCUGUUGGGACCCGAAAGAUGGUGAACUAUGCCUGAAUAGGGUGAAGCCAGAGGAAACUCUGGUGGAGGCUCGCAGCGGUUCUGACGUGCAAAUCGAUCGUCAAAUUUGGGUAUAGGGGCGAAAGACUAAUCGAACCA
RNAcentral lists this ribosomal RNA (869 nucleotides) under Teratosphaeria nubilosa. RNAcentral's name for it is "eukaryotic LSU rRNA". It matches the Rfam family "Eukaryotic large subunit ribosomal RNA", at positions 41 to 942 of the family's 3401-position model. Lineage: Eukaryota; Fungi; Ascomycota; Dothideomycetes; Mycosphaerellales; Teratosphaeriaceae. The record is from RNAcentral.